CAGAAGAGGCGCGGGUUCGAAUCCUGCAGAGCUCAUUUUAACCAAUUUCCACUGUUAAAUCACCAAACAGUACUGGGUGUAACCAGCCCCUUUUAAGGCGCCAGCUAUAACUGGGCGCUAAAUUCUCACUGAUCUUGUGGGGCUAGCACCCCCCAAGCACUUCAAGUUAGAUCAGUACUGAAUAGAUAAGAUGUGGUGGAGGUGGAGACAUCUGCAGAAUAGUGAAUCAUUGUCAAGCUUAACUGAUCAGAGGUUCACUGCCAUUUCACUCACUACUAUCUAGACACCUCUAAAUUCUGAGGAAUGUAUUUAAAAACUAUCUGAUCAGAGCACUCCAGGCCUAGCAAGGAUCUAGAUGAGAUGAGGUCUAGAUGCUCUUAAUAGAUGAUUAGUGCAAGCAAGGCUGUGAUGAUCAAUUGAUAGACUGGAAUACUGAGAUUGGCAGCUGAAAGAUCAGAGGAUUUAACUAGAACUGAGUAGCUCUGAUGUUAUUCUUAGUGAGAAUUUCAUUUAGAUAGACUAGUUAAGAAACCCAGAUGGGCAGUGGUGCUCUAGAGGAAAUAAUAACCUCUAAUAAUAACUCAAGAGAACAG
This 593-nucleotide small RNA is filed under the name Histoplasma capsulatum. RNAcentral describes it as "hypothetical RNA". The record is from RNAcentral. RNAcentral also lists the same sequence under 1 other name. Lineage: Eukaryota; Fungi; Ascomycota; Eurotiomycetes; Onygenales; Ajellomycetaceae.